UACGAAGGGUGCAAGCGUUAAUCGGAAUUACUGGGCGUAAAGCGUGCGCAGGCGGCUUUGCAAGACAGAUGUGAAAUCCCCGGGCUCAACCUGGGAACUGCAUUUGUGACUGCAAGGCUAGAGUACGGCAGAGGGGGAUGGAAUUCCGCGUGUAGCAGUGAAAUGCGUAGAUAUGCGGAGGAACACCAAUGGCGAAGGCAAUCCCCUGGGCCUGUACUGACGCUCAUGCACGAAAGCGUGGGGAGCAAACAG
RNAcentral lists this ribosomal RNA (252 nucleotides) under uncultured bacterium. Its description in RNAcentral is "partial 16S ribosomal RNA". It matches the Rfam family "Bacterial small subunit ribosomal RNA", at positions 524 to 775 of the family's 1533-position model. The record is from RNAcentral.